GAGAGAUGGCGUGUGCGCUCUCACCUCUCAGCGCCUGGUGCAUGCCUCCAAUGCCGCUGUACAGCUCCAGGACGCGCAGGGCCUCCAUGCCCGCUGCGCCGCCGCCGCCGCCGCCGCCGCCGCCGCCGCGGAGCUAGGCCCGCCGGUUCCCUUCUCAUCUUCCUCCGCCCGCCCUGCUCCCUCGCCUCUGGUUCCGCCGCUUUUCGGUUCCCCCUCGCCGGCCGCUCAGGCUCCGAGAGCUGCUAGCAGCGCGAGGCCCCCGGGGACUAGCAGGGGUCAGCGGGGGGACAAUGGGCACAAAACAAUGCGGCCUCCCAAGGGAAUAGCGGCCCGAUUUACGCCCUAUCUACCUUCUAGAGUGCAUUCAGGGACCUUGGAGUCCGAAGCCAAGGAGACGAAAUCCACCUUUGCCCCAAAGUGAAUUCACAUGGGUUAGACGCCAGAAAAGGUCGUUUCCCAGGCAGACUGCUUUUCCGUCACUUGGAGCCUCAAGUGUCCAAACCUUACUAGCGUUAGUAACGCACCACGUGCCAGGUGUUGUGUCUGUGCUGCGGUUACCGAGAGAGAGAGAGACACAGCGAGAGAGAGAACACAAGCAGGGGGAGUGGGAGAGGGAGAAGCAGGCUUCCCGCCGAGCAGGGAGCCCAAUGUGGGGCUCGAUCCCAGGACCCUGGGAUCAUGACCCGAGCCGAAGGCAGACGCUUAACGACUGAGCCACCCAGGCGCCCGCACACUCACAAUGGUGGCAUUUGCCGGGCAGUGGCUUGAAUAAAGAGCUCUCAGGGAACAAGAUGGCAACGUGGAG
Mirounga angustirostris (Northern elephant seal) is the source of this 805-nucleotide long non-coding RNA. RefSeq lists it as uncharacterized. NCBI's taxonomy places the organism in Eukaryota, Metazoa, Chordata, Mammalia, Carnivora, Phocidae. The transcript has 3 exons. The record is from RefSeq and is a predicted model, not a curated record.